AUACUUUGUUUAGCAAUCUGGAGAGGAGUUGGCCUUCUUUAUCUUCCCGUUUGAAACUAGAAGCUAGAAGUACUCAGUGGCUGUAAGCUUGAAGAGAAUUCAAAGAAGCCGCAAAGGAGAUUGAAGAAAGUAAAGCCCUCUUGUUUUUAACAACUCUGCCUUGCCCCUCACACAUUUCCAUGAAGAGGAGAAAGUCUUAUAGCAAUGGAGCUUCAGGACUGGGAUUAUACUCUUAGGAACCAAACUAACACUCUUGUCUGCUAAGAUUAUCUGCUGGAGGUGACAUAUUUUCUCCAAUUAGAAUGUGGGAUAGGAACAGAGGGGAAGGUGAGGAGACACAGUGGAUAGAGAACUGGACUUGAAGCUAAGAAAACUUGCAUUUGGGGUCUUUCUACCUCCACCUACACUGGUUGUGUCACCCUAGGCAAAAUAUGCUCCACCAAAUUCAUGCAAGGAAAAUGAAAAAAAAAACAGCCCCUCAAAAAUGUCAUUAAAUGGGGGAAGAUGGACAAAAUUGACAGGGAGGAGGCAUGAACCAAGGAAAUUCCCUAAACUGAACAGGAGGAGGAGAAAUGCUGUCUUCGAUAGACAAAAUUCAGCCACAAUCAAGCUAAUUGAAUGCACAAAUGUAAUAUUUUUCUGGGGCACCUCCAAUUUAAUGCUUGAUGAAGUCGUGUCAUUCGCACGUAUUUACAAAAGCUUUUCUUCAUCCAGAAAUGUCUGUUGAAAUUGCUUACAGAUGCUGAGAUAGCAAAUCACUCUUCUAAUGUAAUGAGAUAAGUCAUCUCUAUAAACUUUGCUUGCUCAAAUGUACUCACAUAAAAGAAAUCAGGCUACAGGCUUUUUUUUCAAUAAAUAGAAUGAAUAACCAGAA
This 874-nucleotide long non-coding RNA is filed under the name Monodelphis domestica (gray short-tailed opossum). RNAcentral describes it as "lncRNA (ENSMODG00000050746.1)". Lineage: Eukaryota; Metazoa; Chordata; Mammalia; Didelphimorphia; Didelphidae. The record is from RNAcentral.